Molecule: long non-coding RNA, 1048 nt
Filed under: Ursus thibetanus thibetanus
Lineage: Eukaryota; Metazoa; Chordata; Mammalia; Carnivora; Ursidae
Description: lncRNA (ENSUTTG00000020660.1)
Source: RNAcentral
UAAGGGCAUACAUUUCUUCCUCUUUUCCCCCCCUUUACUUCUUGACUGACGCUGCUGGAUACCUGGCCUCUAGUCAUGCUGUCACCAAGCUGAAGAAAAACCCACUGUGGCUGCUGGUUCUGAAUCGCAGAAAUCAGAUGAGUCCAGGUGUCCAUGGCAGAGUGAAUGGACCAGAGGCGAGACAGUGGCGAGAGAAGUUCUGAUAAGCAGAGUACAGGAAUGGCUUCCCUCCGGAAUGGCCGGAUUGGCAGCCCGAGGCUGUGUGUGACCGCGUCCCUCCACGUGACCCGGUGUGCAAGAGGGUCAUCGAGAUGAGAAGGAAGGGCCGGGGGGCAUGGUGGGACUACCUGACCAACCCCCACUUCCUCCACCACAAGAACAACAAAGUGCUCACAGGUUUGUUGAGUGUCACUAAGAGGUGACGUGGUGAUGACCUCCGCACUUGGGUUAGGUUCACCUCUCUUGGAGGUGCCCUGAGUAGAGAUUCGUAUCCCCAGCUCAGCUCAGCUCUCGGGAGAAAGGCUGCUUUGGCACCAGUUGGAAGCAUUUAUGUCCAGGUGUCCUGACGUCGGCAGGGGUCACGUACUGACAAGAUAUUACACCCGUUCGGGCUUAUAAAAAGAGGCAGAGCUGAUCCUCUCCCCACUCUCCAUUUUUUUUUAGGGAAGGGGGGGGUAAAAUCAUAUGGUUUAUGAAAACAGAGUCUAGGGGCGCCUGGCCGGCUCAGUCAGUGGAGCGUGCCUCUUGAUCUCAGGGCUUGCAGGUUUGAGCCCCAUGCUGGGGAUUGGAAGAGAUUACUUAACAAUAACAUUUUAAAAAACAAAUAAACAGAAUCUACUUAUUUGGUGAAGAACAACAGUUUGAGAAAUGGGCAGAUGGGGGCUCAUUUUCGGAGAGCAAGAAUAGUAGCAUUUGUCCAGUCGGGUUCUAAGAGGGCCUCGAUCUCCGUGAGCUCCUUUCAUCACUACUCAGUCCUGUCAAGUAGGUGUUAGAUCCUCAUUUUACGGAACAGUUAACUGCAGGUCUUAGGUGGUUGGUUUCGUGGCAC